GUCGGUCUGUGAGCCUGGCAUCAGGAUUCUUCGUUGCCCCUCCAUUACUCUCCCUGAGUCUUCCUGGUGUCGGACCGGAAUGAGACUCUCCCUCAGGACUCCGGCAUCAUCUUGUAAGACUCCCGCCCGG
Psammomys obesus (fat sand rat) is the source of this 130-nucleotide long non-coding RNA. RefSeq lists it as uncharacterized. Lineage: Eukaryota; Metazoa; Chordata; Mammalia; Rodentia; Muridae. The record is from RefSeq and is a predicted model, not a curated record. The transcript is spliced from 3 exons.